ACGGGAGGCAGCAGUGGGGAAUAUUGGGCAAUGGGCGAAAGCCUGACCCAGCAACGCCGCGUGAAGGAAGAAGGCCUUCGGGUUGUAAACUUCUUUUACCAGGGACGAAGGACGUGACGGUACCUGGAGAAAAAGCAACGGCUAACUACGUGCCAGCAGCCGCGGUAAUACGUAGGUUGCAAGCGUUGUCCGGAUUUACUGGGUGUAAAGGGCGUGUAGGCGGAGCUGCAAGUCAGAUGUGAAAUGCCGGGGCUUAACCCCGGAGCUGCAUUUGAAACUGUGGUUCUUGAGUGAAGUAGAGGCAAGCGGAAUUCCUGGUGUAGCGGUGAAAUGCGUAGAUAUCAGGAGGAACACCGGUGGCGAAGGCGGCUUGCUGGGCUUUUACUGACGCUGAGGCUCGAAAGCGUGGGUAGCAAACAGGAUUAGAUACCCUGGUA
This 437-nucleotide ribosomal RNA is filed under the name uncultured Oscillospiraceae bacterium. Its description in RNAcentral is "bacterial SSU rRNA". It matches the Rfam family "Bacterial small subunit ribosomal RNA", at positions 341 to 792 of the family's 1533-position model. Lineage: Bacteria; Bacillati; Bacillota; Clostridia; Eubacteriales; Oscillospiraceae. The record is from RNAcentral.